UAAACUGCAAAUUAUUAGGGGCUCAAUCUUAGGAGCUACAUGCAAUUGAGCCUCUUAACAUGAAUCAUGAGGUCAUAAAAGCUGUCAUUUCAUAAGUUCAUGUUCAAAGUUCAAUAAUACAAGUCAACUCCACAUAGUAAGAACAUUUUAUGACAGAAAGAAUCAAACACUGACAAAAACAAAAUGGCAUGAAAUUAUCACUACUCUUCAGCCACAAUUCCAGGAAUCAAGAUUUUAUAAAAAGAGAAACGUGAUAAAAUAAUUAAAUACAUGCACCAAUCAGCCUAUUGUUCACAUGAUAUGCUGAAAUUAGACUUGAUUUAUUCAGGUUUGCUCAGAAAAUCUAAAAACAUGGUUUCAUUUAAGGUUUACAUAAUAAAUUGGAAUUUUCAAAUAAUUUAUUAAAAAAGUAUAGGAUAUAGAUGCAUUUUUAUUUAAUUUUAAGUAAACUUUUAUUUUACCAAUAAA
This 468-nucleotide unclassified non-coding RNA is filed under the name Hevea brasiliensis (rubber tree). The record is from RNAcentral. Lineage: Eukaryota; Viridiplantae; Streptophyta; Magnoliopsida; Malpighiales; Euphorbiaceae.